Molecule: ribosomal RNA, 874 nt
Filed under: uncultured archaeon
Lineage: Archaea
Description: bacterial SSU rRNA
Rfam family: Archaeal small subunit ribosomal RNA
Source: RNAcentral
GAUCCUGCCGGACCCCACUGCUAUCGGGAUAGGACUAAGACAUGCUAGUCGAGUGAUUCAGGCAAAACGAGUCACGGCACACAGCUCAGUAACACGUGGCUACCUGCCCUUAGGACGAGAACAACCCCGGGAAACUGGGGCUAACUCUCGAUAGGCGAAGAACUCUGGAAUGAGUCUUUACCUAAAUAGUGCAACGUUAUCCUCGUUGCAUCGCCUAAGGAUGAGGCCGCGACCGAUCAGGUUGUUGGCGAGGUAAUGGCUCACCAAGCCUUUUACCGGUGCGGGCCGUGAGAGCGGGAGCCCGGAGAUGGGCACUGAGACAAGGGCCCAGGCCCUACGGGGCGCAGCAGUCGCGAAAACUUUGCAAUAAGCGAAAGCUUGACAGGGCUAUCCCGAGUGCCAUCCGCUGAGGAAGGCUUUUACCCAGUCUAGAACGCUGGGGGAAUAAGGAGAGGGCAAGUCUGGUGUCAGCCGCCGCGGUAAUACCAGCUCUCCGAGUGGUGUGGAUGUUUAUUGGGCCUAAAGCAUCCGUAGCUGGCUAGGUCAGUCCCUUGUUAAAUCCACCGAAUUAAUCGUUGGAUUGCGGGGGAUACUGCUUGGCUAGGGGACGAGAGAGGCAGACGGUAUUUUCGGGGUAGGGGUGAAAUCCUAUAAUCCCGGGAAGACCACCAGUGGCGAAGGCUGUCUGCUAGAACGCGCCCGACGGUGAGGGAUGAAAGCUGGGGGAGCGAACCGGAUUAGAUACCCGGGUAGUCCCAGCUGUAAACGAUGCAGACUAGGUGUUUGGACGGCCACGUGCCGUUCUAGUGCCGCAGGGAAGCUGUUAAGUCUGCCGCCUGGGGAGUACGAUCGCAAGGUUGAAACUUAAAGGAAU